RNAcentral lists this ribosomal RNA (492 nucleotides) under uncultured bacterium. RNAcentral describes it as "partial 16S ribosomal RNA". It matches the Rfam family "Bacterial small subunit ribosomal RNA", at positions 29 to 507 of the family's 1533-position model. The record is from RNAcentral.
AGUGAACGCUGGCGGUAGGCCUAACACAUGCAAGUCGAACGGCAGCACAGUAAGAGCUUGCUCUUACGGGUGGCGAGUGGCGGACGGGUGAGGAAUACAUCGGAAUCUACUUUUUCGUGGGGGAUAACGUAGGGAAACUUACGCUAAUACCGCAUACGACCUACGGGUGAAAGCAGGGGAUCUUCGGACCUUGCGCGAUUGAAUGAGCCGAUGUCGGAUUAGCUAGUUGGCGGGGUAAUGGCCCACCAAGGCGACGAUCCGUAGCUGGUCUGGGAGGAUGAUCACCCACACUGGAGCUGGGACACGGUCAAGACUCCUGCGGGAGGCAGCAGUGGGGAAUAUUGGACAAUGGUCGCAAGCCUGAUCCAGCCAUACCGCGUGUGUGAAGAAGGCCUUCGGGUUGUAAAGCCCUUUUGUUGGGAAAGAAAAGCAGCAGGUUAAUACCCCGCUGUUCUGACGGUACCCAAAGAAUAAGCACCGGCUAACUUCGUG